UUUGUCGAUGUCAUAUCUUAAAGCAUCAGAACUGUAGAAAAAUAAAGACCAAAAUAUUAACAUUGAAAUAAAAUAGCUCAUUUAUAAUAUUAAAUUUGUUAAAAUUGAAAUAAUAGACACAAAUAUAUUUGAAUUAUGCUUAUUAUGUGACAUUAUCAAACGUAAGUACACUAAUAAUUUUCAUUUAUUUUGAGAAAUUGGGAAAUUCUGCUUAUUAUCGGAAUUGUAAUAAUAUACUUAUACUCCUACACCAAAAUGGGGCUUUCAAAUUCAAUCUAAUGAUCAUUUGAAUCAAAAAAACUGUAAUCUUAAAAAAUCCUCAAAUUUGUUAAUGAAUUAACUAAGAUACUAAUCUUGUAUUGAACUGCAAUGAUAUCCAUAAACAGCUCUCAAUUCAGAAUUUAAGGUCACAUAAAACAUACUGAAAUUCCAUUAUGCAGCUUAAAUUGGACAAUAAAUGAAAGAACAAUACAAGAUAUUAAUAACACUUUUGAGAAUCUUUUGUUGCUCAAAAAUUUUUAAAUGGGAUUGCUGCAUAUCUUGAAUGUUUUUAACAUAUUCAUCAUUCUUAAUUUGUAGCUCAUUCUUUUGUUUCUUUUAUCUCAUAAAGUUGAUUUAUUAGAAAUAUUCACUUUUGAGAUAAUGUGUUUGAGUCAUUUAGGAAGUUUUUCAAAAUCUUUACAUAAAUAACACAGUUCAUAAUAUGUUACCUCUACAAUUUCUUCAUUUGCCAUUAUACAUGUGUUGGUUUCUUCUUUUUUAACCUUGAUUUUCAUCGUGGAACUCUUUUUGCAAGAUAACCUUUUUUGCACUUUCUUAUUCAAAAGACAUCUAGUUUUGAAAUUUCCUAACUUGUGCCAUCUAUGACAUGUAAUUUGAUUUGCAGGUUUAACAUCACUUAUUCUUGAAUUUUUUCCUCUUACACUGUUAUGUGCUCAAACCUUAAAGGUGGAGCAUUUAUACCAAUUGCAAUAACACUAUCAAUUACAAGAAAGGGAGUUUGAAUUGUGUCCAUUUUAAAAUUUUGAUUCAUGUGCUUAAUUUAAAUUAACUCAAGAUCAAUCUUAGUUGAAACAUAAUGUUCUGGUUACGUUAGAAGUGAAUAAUACACAUUAGUUUAUAGUGAGAUGUAGUUUUUGUGUGCAAAUAAUUAAAGAUAAGAGAUAAAAAUAUAACACACACAAAGUAUAUCGGUUCAAUUAACUCGGGCUAGUUCAAUCAUCACAACCGUGAAAUUUUUACUAUGCGUUUCAGAACUAGAAUGUUUUCUUUCAAACUUUUUCUCUUGAUCACACCUCUACCAAUCUAGAAAUAUUUUUACAGUCAUCUUUCAACCUUGAAAUGAUUUUCACAGUCGCUUUUCAAUCUAGAAUUAUUUUUACAAAUACACUAAAUCUAACAUAAAAGAUAGACUUGAGUUACAAAUGAUGUGUAUGAUAAUAGUGUUUGUGAUCUUGAAACUUCUCGAUACUUAUUUGAGAUAAAUAAAGACAAGCUCAGUAAACGAUGAUCCACAUAUAUAAUGAAGAGAGCUAAACUACUUCAAGAGUGUUUGACUUGUUCUUACUUGAACAAAUGUUGGUUGAUUUGCAAAUUGAACCGUUGCCUUCUUCUUACAAUUGAUCUUCAAAUUAUAUUCAAUGGGAGACUUUGAAUAUUCAGUUUAAACUUAAUAUAUCAAAUAGACACAUUAGCCAAACGCCAGAUCCAUUUUAAAACAAUUAAAAACAUGUUUAUAUUGUUGUUCAGAAUAUUAUUGACAAACCUAUAACGUUCUAGCUUUUGAAUCUGAUUGAAAACGUGAAUGAUUGAGUGAAUGGAUUGUGAAAUUUUUGUUUUUUGUCUCAAAAGCAUGUUGAUCUAUCUGCAAAAGGUGCAACAACAGUGUACUCAUGUCCUUGCUCACAUCUCAUCAAUCUGGAGACCAAUCUGGUCAUUAAUUUCGAGGUUAUGUUCCUUUUUUGGACCUUUAGCGUGAAUUUUAGACUUGAUUAUUGAUUUGAGUAGUCUUGAUACUCUUUAACUUGAUGUUUGGACUAUGCAGAAUAAUAUGUUUUAUUUAUGUUUUUAAAAAAGAAUAACUAGAAUGUUCUUUUAUUCAAAACCAAAUUGUUCUUGUUAUAAACUAGAAUGUUCUUCUAAUCAUGUUGAAAAACCCAUGUGGGAAAUGUGAACUAUUUUACUGCAUGUUGCUCUUUCGAAAAGUUCAUUAUUGUCAAUUGUUCUGUAAUAGAGCAACCAUAACAUUCUAGUGAUUGUUCUUCCAUUAUUUUUUAAACAAAUGACUUAGUAAAUGACUUAAUCUUAAAAUAAUUUCUUCUUCAAAGUUGAUUCUUGUUAUUUUGUUGAAAUGAUAUAAAUAUUUACGAGUGCAAUGAAUUUGUUUGUCAUGAGAAUAUUAUUUCAUAACAAUUGAGAAUGUUGUCUUUUAUAUGAGAGGAUAAAUCUUUUGUUGAAACAAUACUUCAUACAAUUUCUCUUGAUAUUUCACAUGUUGUAUUUUGUCCAUCAAAUAUUAGUGAGAUACUUUAGUAUAUGUAUGAAUUUAUUAGACAUUUUUUUCAUGAAAAUGAUAUCUUGAAGAUACAACAAUAAUUCUAUUAAAUGAAUUAUAUAUAAUAUAUUUAUUUUAAAAUUAUUUUAUUAUUGAGUAAAUAUUUAUGCACGUGAUGUGAAUGAUUUUUUGCUUAUCCAUUUAUGCAAUUUAUGUUUCUUAAAUAAAACACAAGUAUGAUCUUAAAUAAAUCACAAUUUAUUAAACUUAAUCAUUUUUUUCAUAAAGUUUAUUGUCUUUAAAAUAUAUAUCAAAAAUAUUUUUAUCUCAAUAAAAACCAUUCUUUGAAAUCAAAAAGACAAAAAAUCUAUAAACUUUGUUUGGGUGAAUAAGGCCAUAGAGAUGCGUCACUUUGUAUGUGUUGAUGUUUUGUUUUUUUUAAGGUGAGAACAGUGGCGGAUCUUGAUAAAUUUUAUUGGGGGGACCAACAUAAAAACAAAAUAUUUUCAAUUCAUUUUAUAUGUUCCAUUUUGGUGUAGUGGUAAUUUUAAUUUUUAGAUGUAUUAAAGGUACCCUGUUCGAAUCCAACUAUUUACAAUUUUGUCAAUCAAAUAACUAUAUUUAUAAUAAAAAUAACAAAAGUCAUUAUCAUGUAGCAUUGAACCACAGACAUGAGGUUUAUGAAAAUGUCCAUUACCAUUAAGCUACUCCACAAUUUGACAUUGUUAACGAGACAUUUGUUAUAUAUACCAUAUAUUAUAGAUAAAUUUUAUUAUAAGUAUACAUAAUUUUACCGAAGAAGAAAAUUUUGGGGUGGCCGUGGCCUCCCCCUGUCAUAACUCAGAUCUGUCCCUGAUAACAUCACCCAUUUUGUAUAAGUAUUUAAUUCUAUAAUUCUUUUUCUUUCAACUUUUACGCAAAUAUAGAACUUUACAACAUUCACUUUUCUGUGUUUGCAAAUGAUUUCUUUUGGCUUGAACAUUCUGUCUGAUAACUCCAGUUGCAGAUUAGGUGAGUUGUAAAUUUAUACUGUAGAUAGUAGAAUAUGUCAUGGUAACUGUCAUGGUUAAAAUUUUGAAGGCUGUGUACGUCACACUCUGUUUAACUUUUAUGACACAGUGCUUCUUAGUAUUUGGUUGCCUUGAUAAGGAAAUAUCUAUUAUAAUUCUGAAACAUAUUCAGCUGAUAAUGGAUAUGUGUGUAAAUUUCUGAAUAUAUGGUGGUUUCAGUGAGAUAUCACACUAUCAUGUAUGCAUAUAUAGAACUCUGAACUUGAAAAAUGUCAUUCUUUCUUUAUUAUAAGGAAACUAAUGGAUUUUGUUAUUAAUUCUUAUUAUUUUUUUAAUAAAUUUGAGGGGUAUAACUUAUUUAGGAAACUGACUGUAAUUUAUAAGUAAACGUCUUGGUACUUUGAAUUAAAACAUUUUAGGUACGGCGAUCAUGCAUUCCACACAUGAUUUUAUAAUUGUGGCGACCAGUAUCUUCUACAAUUUUUUAUUUUUAAUAUUGUGCUUAUUUUAUUUUUUCAUUAUUUGGCUUGUAGUUGCCGGGUCGUACAGAUAAUGAGAUAAUGAAGUACUGGAAUACCCGGGUCAAGAGGUGUCAACGGGCUGGCUUGCCGGUCUAUCCUCCCGGAGUGCAGCAAGAGACUCCUCGUGACCAAAGCACUGGUGGAAUUAACGGAGACCAUAAAUUGCAUCCCGAUGAUAUACAUGAUGCAAUAUUUGACAGUCUGAAGGAUAACCAGGGAAUCUUACCUUAUGUUCCUGAGCUUUGUGAUAUUUCUGCUUAUGGCAAUAUGCUAAAUGGUUUUGAUUCUUAUCAGUAUUGUAGUUUUCUGCCAGCAACAUCAUUC
Molecule: long non-coding RNA, 4349 nt
Filed under: Cicer arietinum (chickpea)
Lineage: Eukaryota; Viridiplantae; Streptophyta; Magnoliopsida; Fabales; Fabaceae
Description: long non-coding RNA (CARI_LNC000037)
Source: RNAcentral